Molecule: long non-coding RNA, 13775 nt
Filed under: Pelobates cultripes (western spadefoot toad)
Lineage: Eukaryota; Metazoa; Chordata; Amphibia; Anura; Pelobatidae
Source: RNAcentral
AAAAAGCACAGCGAAAGAGAUUGAAUUGCAUGGCACAUUGUGUCCGUUUAGUAUGCAUUUAGCUCUCUCAGUCUAGCUGUUUAUCUAAUUAAACAGGCUACGUUAAGGGUUACAAGUGCAAAGAUAAUAUAUAAUGACCUCAAACUUUCCUCUUCCACGUCCUUUGAGAAGAUCCCUGAGCCUGGCUUCUGCACGGACCAUGCGCAUCGUGGUGUUGGGGCAAAGCGCUGUAGGCAAAACCGGUAAAUAUCUUUUUAUAUUUUGUCACUCUUCGAUGGUAUUUUGACAAAAAGAGCUGGUUGGCACACAUAUGCUAUAAGGGAUAAUUAGUAAAAACAAGCAUCGGGAAGAAUUAGGAACUAGGCAGAUACAAAUUAAAGGUCAAAAUUAAUGAGUUGGGGAAAUAGCUGAAAUGGAUCACUUUUUUAGCUAAUCUAAUUUGGCCUAAAAUUGGAAUUCCUUUCAUAGAUCCCCACAAUAUCCAGUUUAGUGAAUACAAAAACAUCUUUAUUGUUUAAUUUGGUUGUAAUUUAAGUUGUAUUCUACUUUUUGAAUGUGUGCAUCGACAUAUAAAUCCAUCAGAGGUCUGCAAUGGCAUCUCAGUAUUGGUCUAUACUAAAAGAGAUAAACAGAUAGAUUUUAACACAUUGAAUUGUGAUAAAAUAAAUUUGAUUGUGACAUAAUCAACACUAUUCCAUUAAGGUUUCCAUUCAAAUAUGUUUGUCAAUUUGUUCGCAUUAUGUACGCAUCAUGCAUUAAAGCAACAAUACAAGCACCAUAACCACAGCAGCGCACUGUGGUCGUUAUGAUUCCAGGAAUGCCGCGGCGCCCACCCCAAUGUAAGUAGUCAAACCGCUUUAGAAUAAUUUUACUUCUUGCUUGGGGUCUGACAAAUUCCACUGCCUACCUGUAUUACAAGUUAGAGAGAGCUGGAAGCUAUCUGUCUGAGCUUUGCCCGGCACUGCAAGGCUUAGUCCAGGAGAAUAAAGAGCAGACACUCUGCAGACUCCAGGUCUUCUAAACUAUUUGAAAACUAACAGUUUGAGAGCACUGUGGUGGUUUUGGUGUCUGGCAAGCUCAUUGAAGGUCAAGGUAUUAAAGUGAAUUAGUCUGGUGAAUAGGUUGGAGUUUAACCCCUUAAGGACACAACUUCUGGAAUAAAAGGGAAUCAUGACGGAAUAUUUCCAUCAUGUGUCCUUAAGGGGUUAAUACCCAAGUUAAAAAUGUUAUGGGUUUUUGCCUGAAAAUUAGCCCAUCUGGGAUACACAAAGGUCGACACAGUAUUGAGAUGACGGUCCCUUUAACAUUUGUAAUUUAAGCCUUCAAGCUACCUAAGAACUUUCAAACAAUGGUCCAAUUGAUGUGAUUUUGGCUUUGUUGUUAGGUUAAUGUGCUUGUGGGCAUUUACUGAUUGCUAGAUGACAAUAAUGCAGAAAUCUAGUAAAUGUUGCACGUCUACGUUUUAAGGAAUGUCUGGUUUGUUUAACAAAACCUUUUUUCUUGCCAAGAAUGCCGAACAUUUGCUUCUGUGCAAUAUGAAACACUGACUGACAAACAAAAUUACAUUUUACAUUUUUAUACUACACAAAAUCUUUGUCAAUGACUUUCAACAUUGGAACUCUCUAGGCAUUCAUUUCCUUUCCAACCCAACAGCCCCUUGUCAUGCUGGUUCCCUCAACAAUCAUGGGUAAUGUUAUCUUCAGCUGUUGAGAAUUAUGUCUUGAGUUUAGUUCCGAGAGCGCUAGCAGAGGAAGCGCAAACCUCUGUUUCUGCAAGGUAACACUGUAUAAUAUACUGACAUAUCUUCCAGACGUGGGAGGUAUGGAAUUUGGAAAGGUGGAACCAUGCCAGUGAUUUGGUUCACUUUGGUGGUAAUGCCCAAUGGCCAGACACAGAGCGUACUGUAGCCCACAAGCAAUACUCCAAACCUUCUAACCAGGACUGCCAAUGGACACGGCAUUGCUGAUGCACUCUCGUAGGAGCAGAAAUGCCCUAGAAUAGCUUUGCACAGCCACAGGAAUAAUUCAUGACUUACUGGCGGUGAAUUUGUGUGUAUGUGCGAAUCUGUGAGCGCCUGUCAAUCAGUGUAUCUACAUCUAUGUGUCUGUGAAUCUGCAUGUGUUUGUUAAUCUGUGUAUAUACACCUGUGUGUCUGUGAAUCUGUGUGUCUGUGAAUCUGUAUGUGUUUGUUAAUCUGUGUAUAUAGAACAUAUUCCAUAAUUGGAAAAGCUAAGUAUUGUUUUUUGCACAUAAUUGGUUGCACAAAGAAAUAUUUUGAUUGCACUAUUUGCAUAUUCAUAUGUCUAAGUGUGUUGCACAUUGAUGCACUUGAUCACUUUAACUGCACUAUUGCGCAAAUUAUUUUCACUGUUUAUAAAUAUUUUGAGUCUUAAAGGCACAGCGCACUUUAUUUUUACAUUGUCUUACUAUAGGUGAUUGAGCUUUUUUCACUUUAUAUAGUGCGGCUUAUUAGUAUAUAUUGUAGUUUUAAAUUCAGCGCCAUAACAUUACUUGUGUGGUUUAUCACUUUGUAUAUACAAAGUGUCUGUGAAUCUGUGAGUGUUUGUUAAUCUGUGUAUAUACACCUGUGUGUCUGUGAAUCUGUGAGUGUUUGUAAAUCUGUAUGUGAAUCUGUAAAUGUGGAUCUGUGCAUGUCUGUAUGAAUUGUGGGUGUGAAGGGAUACUGAAAUCAGAUGCCCACUUUGAGGCAUGUACAUAAUUGGAAAUGACAAAGUGAAUUUAAAGUGAAUAUGAAAAUUAAGGCCAAAGUAGUCAAACUGUAAGCAUAGCCUACUUGGAGAAUAUUUACAGUUUGAACAUUUUGGCCUUAAAUUUCAAAUUCAGUUUGGAUUUCUGAUACUAAAUGGAAUAAUCCUGUAAAAAGUGGAUUGUUGUAAAUUAGCAAGGGAAUUGCAAAAUCUAGGCUAAAAUAGGAAAACCAGAAAAUAUCCAGUUCAGCUCUUUAUUGCUAAAUUGGCUACCUUGCCAUAGAUAUUGCAAUUUUCUUACCAAUUCGCCUCAGUUCACUCGAAGACACAAUUUGGCUUGCUAGGUUACUCAUAGACAGCAGAUAUUUUGGUUUAAAUAUGAUUGGGGUCCUAGACACCUUUUUGUAUUAUUAUUACUAAAAACAUCUGACCAAAAAUCAGAUGGGAACACAAAAAAAGAGAGAGGUCCAGGUAAGUAUAUCUAACUUUGUCUUUCCCCUGUGCCCCCACGGUGACAUGUCACCUGCCAAAAGCAUGCAAACACCUGAAAAGGGACAGUUUUACUUUAACAAGUCUAAAUUCCUGGAAAAAGAUUCAUCACCACGAGAAUUAAAGGGGAAUUAGUGCACCAGAGCUAACGAAUGAACCCUGAUAAUGGAACGACUGUUCAUUUAAUGCAUGGAUGAAUGGUCUAAUUUGUGCUGUGAAAAUCUAAUAAGGGUUGCUGCAUCGAGAUCCAACUCAUAAAUGGCAAGAGAUGGUUGUGGAUUCAUGAUUUCUUCCUCGUUGCUAGUCUGCUUUUUAUUAGCCCUAAUUUGUAGCCAUGAGCCAGUUUCACAUUUCAUUCAUUUCAAUGAACAAAUCUAUUAAACUACCUGCUGGACUGCAUUUUAUGGCCAUGACAACGUAGAAAGCUUUUUCACUGUGCCUCGUAGAUUUAGGAAUCGAUACAAUUGUUUCUAGAUUAGAAUCCAAAACACCCAACACAUACCAUCCAUUAAAGGACCACUAUAGUGCCAGGAAAACAUACUCGUUUUCCUGGCACUAUAGUGCCCUGAGGGUGCCCCCACCCUCAGGGUCCCCCUCCCGCCCGGCUCUGGAAGGGGGAAAGGGGUAAAAACUUACCUUUUUCCAGCGCUGGGCGGAGAGCUCUCCUCCUCCUCUCCGCCUCCGUUACGCCCCGCCGGCUGAAUGCGCACGCUGCAAGAGCCAGCGCCAAGAUUCAGUAAAGAUAGAAAGCAUUUACAAUGCUUUCCUAUGGACGCUGGCUGCGUUUCUCACUGAUUUUCACAGUGAGAAGCACGCAGCUUCUAGUGGCUGUCAAUGAGACAGCCACUAGAGGAUUAGGGGGAAGGCUUAACCCAUUCAUAAUUAUAGCGGUUUCUCUGAAACUGCUAUAAUUAUGAAAAAAUGGGUUAACCCUAGAAGGACCUGGCACCCAGACCACUUCAUUAAGCUGAAGUGGUCUGGGUGCCUAGAGUGGUCCUUUAAAGAGACUCUGUAUCUGGUAUUAGACAAUAAACGGUACGAAAUUAGACAAUCGUCCUACAUAGUGGAUGAAUUAAAAUAUUAUUGUAACACAUGGGAAAGCUACAUUAAAUGUGCAUAUGCCUUAUGAGUAAGACCUACAACUGACCUAAAUUAAUAUUUAGUCUAAUAAUUAAAUCAUUGAUUAAAGUGUCUAUACCGUCAGUGUUUUAUUGUGUAUUUACUAAUCUUGUCAUGCUGUUUGUGCGAUUGUUUAUUUAUUAUCAUGAUUAUAUUCUUUAAUUGUGAAGGUCUGGAUGGAUGUUACUCCCUUUUCAUUUUCUGUUUUCCCCUUUUUCAUUGAAAACCUUUGUUAUAGUAAUAUUUUGAAAAAAUGUAAAUAAUAAAAAAAAACAUUUAACAAGAAUCUGAAAGCAUUCCGGAUGCAUGGCACAUUGGAGAGUUGUCACAUUGACCAGCUAGUUUUAAUGGGGCUCCAACGUACAAGUUAAAGUGUUCAAAUAUAGAUUUUUCUAAUUGUUCUUCAGUGGGUCUCUUUAAAUAGUUCUUGCUUCGAAUCUGAACAGUUCUUUAUUUGUAAUAUUUGAGCAGACACAUCGGUAAAAGAUACAUUGUUUUAUAGUAGGCUCCAAUUUAAAAUUACAGCCUCAGUCUUCUUUAUAACAUUGUAGCAAGUUCUUAAAUCUGUCCAGGGUCAACAAUUCUCCAUAUUUUUGGAACACAUACGAAUGCUUCAUUCUGUUAAGCAGGGCUUGAAAGUGUUGUGAGGUUCUACAUUGCAUUCGUAUGCUCCUUGCGUGAAAUGAAUUUAAAAAAUCACAGCUGCUACUUUGGGAUAUCAGCUGAGACAAACAGAUUUCACACUGGGCAAUGGUCUCCAUUUAAAGCAGCACUGUCACCCUCCUCUCAAACCCCCCGAAAAAUUUGUAUUUCAUGAUGAUAGAAUCUUUAUGAAAUCCUUAAUUUGACUGUGUUGGAUUUUCACCGAAAUUACACCCCAGUCGAGCGAUAUACAGAGACAAAUCAGGGACUACUUUGUCUCUGUAUUUUCCUCCGCUUGACACUUCUUUUUUUUUUUUUUUUUUAUUCUUUAUUUAUGAAAUGAUCAGACACCACAACAGUAUAUGCAACAUGAUGCAAUAAAGAACAACAUCGCAAUCACCAAAACAAUACGCAUUACUUGUAAAAAACAAACAAUAUUGCAAAGUCUGACUACCAAUCACAAACAGCAUAUCUAACAUAUGAAUGUCGUCUUUACGAGUUUGAUUACUGCGGUAUCCCACCCAUUUUAUUUUAAGUAAGACAAUAAGUUCCCAUCUGAUAGUGAAAUACACAAUGAUAUUUCACGCUAUCCAUCCAUAGCUACCCCUAGAAUGCAGUAAGAAUUUGGCUAGGUCAAUGAACCAAAACUCAGUGUACAGGGAUGACAUUUAUGCGAAGAUAUUUUAAUAAUAGCCUACCAAUAAACACCCCUCGACCCGCCCCUCCAAAUAUAGCUUCAGUGAGCCAUAUGGUAACUGGGCAGUAACCAAAUAGAUGGGAAAAGACAAUAAAAAGAUAAAUAAAGAAAAGAACAGGUUAACCGAAAGAGGAGUACCAAAAGGAUAGAAGAGAAAAAAGAAGAGAGAGUAGGAUUGGGAGUAGGAUUGGGAGGGGGUAUUAUAGUGAUUUUCCCAGAAUAGUAAUGAUGCCGAUACGAUCAGAUAGCUGGAUAGCCACGAGCCGGGAUGUUUUUAGCAAGUACCGCCAUGCCAGUGCGAAAAACUAUAAACCGUGAACAUCUCGUGGGAUCCUGAGGGUCCCGCUUCGGAAGGGGGAGUAAAAGUGUGCUAUGCAUCCUGUCAUCAAUAGAGGUGUUUCGGGGUACGCAGGGAACGAGCCCGUCCCCCACUCCCCUAAUCACCCACCCCACUAGCCACCCACGGGUUCCAAAUCUUUUCCAUUUUCUUCUUAGUGCCCCGGACCCUAGCUGUUAACUCGUCCAUUAUGUAUGUAUCCUUAAUCUUUUGUAUCACCACCUCCAUAGGGGGGGUCUCUCCCUGUAGCCACACUUGGGCCAUGGCCCUUCUGGCAGCCAGGGUCACCUUAUGUAGUAAAUUUUGUUCCGAUCUGGACCAGUUCUCCAGCGAUCUGGCCAGGAGGAAAACCCAGGGGUCUGGUUUGAUCACCCUAUCAAAGAUAUUUCCCAGUAAAUCCGCGACCCGUUUCCAGAAUUUUUGUGCCUCUGGACAGACCCACCACAUAUGUAUAUACGUCCCUUUCUGGCCACAUCCUCUCCAGCAUAAAUCUGUAUUAAUUUUAUUCAUCCGGUAAAGCUUCGCCGGGGUAGCGUACCACCGGAACAUAGUCUUAUAGGCUUGUUCUUGAAAUGUGACACAAAUAGACGAGGUCGCCGCUGCCUCCCAGAUCUCUUGCCACUCAACACCCUCCAGUUCCUCAUUCAGAUCCAUUUCCCAUUGAGACGUAUAAUGAAGCUCCCCCCAUUCAGAUGUGGUCGUACUGAGGUGCGCGUAUAAGUUAGUGAUGAGGCCUUUCGGAAAUUGUUCUUGAAUGCACAUUCUUUCAAAAAACGUGAGUGGAGUCAAGGCGCUAGUUUUAAUCUGUGGGUUAUGGGCGAAGUCCCUUAACUGGAGGUAUCGAAAAAAAUCGGAGGGACGUAGAGUAGCUCUGGACUUCAAAUCAUCGAAGGAUAUAAAAGCACCCCCCUCAUAAAGAUGACAUAGUCGUUGUACCCCUGUGCUCUCUAUGCCCUUAAAGUUUCUGGCUUCCAAUCCCGGAGGGAACGCUCGAUUCCUCAGAUAAGGGGCCAAUGGGGACAGAUGGGGGGAUAAACCGUAUUUGGUCGAUGUUGCGUCCCAGAUUUUCAAAGAGUUAGCGAUAGCUGGGCAAUCGACAUGUAUCAAUGGUCUGUGGUCCCUAGGGACCCACAUAAAGAAUUGAGGGACGUCGGAACCCAGAAGGGUGGCCUCCAGGUCGACCCACCGCCUCUCUUCCGGGGGAGCAUGCCAUAGUGCUAUUUGAGUUAAUUGGGACGCUAAAUAAUAGAAAUAGAGGUUUGGUAGACCUAAGCCCCCCCUCGCUUUUGACCUGUAAAGAACGUUACGCGAAACUCUAUGUUUCCUGUUCUGCCAAAUGAAUUUCCCAAUGGCCUGCUGGAGCGUCCCUAGAUCUGACUUGGACAGCCGGACCGGGAGAGCUUGAAAUAGAAACAGAAUCCUAGGGAGAAUAUUCAUUUUCACAGAGUGAAUCCUACCAAUCCAGGAGAUCGGCUUAUCUAUCCAUUUCUCCAUGUCUCCUAUCAAGGUGCGGAUCAUAGGAACAUAAUUUUGCUGAAAUAAUUGGGAAGGGUCCGCUGUCAGCCGAACCCCCAAAUACUUUAUAUGAUCGUUUGCUAUAUGUAUCCUAUAGGUGUCUCCGAUGUGGGUGAUAUCCGUGUCGCUCAUGCUUAUGGGAAGUGCGCUUGACUUAGUUAAGUUCACCCUAUAUCCGGCCAAUUCGCUAUAGGCCUCCAACACUGUCGCCAAUGCCUCCAUAGAAUUUAUCGGAUCCGUCAGGGUUAGCAAGACAUCGUCAGCAAAGCCAGACACCACAUAUCGCUGCUCCCGAAUCACGAUCCCCUUGAUGUCGGAGCUAUUUCUAAUUGUUUGUAGGAGGGGUUCCAAAGAGAGAGCGAACAAUAGAGGUGACAGCGGGCAGCCCUGCCUAGUCCCAUUCCCCAAAUUGAAAGGUUCCAUCUUCGCGCCCGAAAUCCGGACUCGAGCCCGAACGUCAGUGUACAUUGCUUGUAUCGUAGUUAUAAAGGGUUCAGGGAUACCAAACUGUCGGAGAGUCUCGAAAAGAUAAGGCCACUUUACCCUAUCGAAAGCUUUCUCCGCGUCGAGUGACAAUAUCAACGUCGGAAUCCCCCUAGUUGCCUGCCGCCAGAUAAGAUCAAUGUUGCGUCUAGUAUUUUCAAAUAGCUGCCUGCCAGGCACAAAGCCCACUUGGUCAGGGUGUAUCAAUCGUGUUAACAAGGGGUUCAGUCUGUGUGCCAAUAUUUUGGCAAGGAUUUUGGAGUCAUGGUUUAUCAAAGAAAUCGGGCGAAAGUUUUCGGGGACAGAAUCAUCCUUGCCGGGUUUCGGUAACAGCACAAUAUCCGCUAUUGACAUAUCCCUAUCUGGCGUUCCUCCCUCCAUUAGGUCGUUAAACCACUUUUCCAUGUGGGGUAUAAGUUCCUCUCAAAAUAUCUUAUAAUAGCUACCGUCGAAGCCAUCCGGGCCCGGAGCUUUGUUACCCUUUAAAGCGGAUAUUGCAGCAUCGAUCUCUUCGACCGUAAUCCUUUCUCCAAGGGCAGCUGAGUCUUCUCCCCGCAACAUAGGUAGCUUCAAUUGAGAUAAAAAUGCCUGCGAAUUGUCCGUGUCACUCCUCUGGGUGCUUGUAGCCCCGCUGGAAUGAUUAUAUAAUUUGGUAUAGUAAUCUGUAAAAACCUUAGCAAUAGCGGAAGGGUCUGUGCAAUACUUACCCGUAGCGUCUUUGAUUCUUGUAAUAUGAGAGUGACUCUGUCUCGGGCGAAGAGAUCUGGCCAACAAGGUAUCCAUUUUGUUGGAUUUUUCAUAGUAAGUCCUCUUGGACCAGACUAAAGCUCUAGCAGUCUCGUCGAGGAGCGUUUCGCAGACCGAAGCCCGCAAUUUCCUUACUUCCUGCAAUGUGGUAGGCGACGAGGCCGCCUUGUGUUUUUCUUCUGCUUUCCCCAGGGCUUCCAGGAGAGAUGUUAGUAAUUGUGUCUUACGUUUCUUCUUAUGCGUGGCUUCGCGGAUCAAUAUACCCCGGAUAACCGUCUUGUGUGCGGCCCACACCGUGGCAGGCCGGGGACCAGAGUCCGCAUUCCUUGUAAAGUACUCAGUCAGUUCCUUACGCGUGAUCUCCACCACGGCUGGAUCCUGAAGCAGAGAGGUGUUCAGUCUCCAGGUCCACGGAGAUGCCAUACUUAAUUUAUCCAGAGUCAUCGUGAUGUCAGCAUGGUCCGACCAAGUGAUCGAACCUACUGAAGUUUUCAACACCUUUGGGACCGUGUGGGGAUUCACCAGAAAUAAGUCUAUCCUCGAAUACGUAUCGUGAGGUGCUGAAUAAAAAGUGUAAUCACGGUCGUCUGGAUGAUGAGCUCUCCAGAUAUCGACCAGGCCUGUACGAUGCAUAAAAGUGCGUAGUAUUUUAUCUUGACUACCUCUCCCGUGGGACCGCGGCAACCCGUCGCCAGGACCUCUGUCAACCGCAGGACACGGGGUGGCGUUCAGGUCCCCCCCCACCACUGUCAUUCCGUGUGGCAGAGUGUUCACCAUCUGCGUUAUUCCGUCCCAAAAAGCAACAGAGGGGUCGUUUGGGGCAUAGACAUUGAGGAAAUGCACUGCAUGAGAGUGCAAUCUCCCCGAAACCAGCACGAAACGGCCACCCGGGUCGGCUACCACGUUUUCCACCCUCAGCGGGCAUCUAUGGUGUAUAACGAUAGCAACUCCAUUCCGUUUAUUUAAAGCCCUAGCUUCAUGGACUGUCCUGAAAGUGUGAUCCUUCAGGGCGAAUUUAGCCGAUGCGGAUAGGUGCGUCUCCUGCAAGAAGGCAAUAUCUGGGCUCAUGCGUUUGAGAUCCCUGAACAUGAGGCGGCGUUUACUCGGAGCGUUCAGGCCCUUAACAUUCAAUGAUAAUACUUUUAAGGGCAUAGUUUCCAAAAGGAGGGCAAGCCAAUGCCUCCUAGCAGCCCACUACUGGGCCAGUAAGGAGAUUGCACCACAUAUCUCAUCUCGGUACCAUGGGAGCCCGGCUCCGGACCAUCCAGACAGAGUUCAGCGGCAUAACUGCCCUCUCCUGUUCCCCCUCCCAAGGGAGAUAGUAAAGAUUUAGAACUGGACAACAAACAAGAAAUAGAAAAAAAGAAUAAGUUUAAGACAAAGAAGGACACACAGAACCUGUGUAUCUGGUGCCUGGUCUUACCUAUAGCCAGGCUUAAUUGGGGCACAUGUUCCAGCCCCUCCGGAAUCCCCAAAAGUCUCCAGAGAAGCGGGAGCAUACACCAACAGAGAAAAGCACCCAUAGGGUGCCCACACAGACUAAUUAUGAGACACAAUGAAAUACAAUAAGAUGUCAGAUAGCUGCAUUACCUACAUAUACACAACCAAAAAAUCCCCUCCCCCUAGGCAGAGAUCCAAACAACUUCCCCCCCCCGCGAGGAAGGCCCCCCCAAAAAGAGAGGCGGGGGCAAAACAAUAUGGCAUAAUCUGCGCAGUUAAAGAAUGAGCCCAAAAUCAAAAUCAAAAUCACCCGCUCCCCCGAAGAACACACGCCCCACUGUUCCCUUAACCCACAAUAAAUAACAUAAAAUGUGCCCGGGAGGCAGAAAGAGCCCGAAAGUAUGGAAAAUAUACAUAAAAGAACGCCUUAGCAUAAACAUAGCCCCGUGACCCCAAGACCUCCCCCCCAUAGCUGAACCCACAGGCUCCCGCCGAAUCCCAUCCCCUGUGCGUAAUAUCAAAUGUAAAUACAGUGUGGUACAUAAGCUAAUUGUAAAAGCAGGGUCAACCCUAUCAACCACCCGCCCUACAUAAUAAACACACAUCCCGCCACCCUCCGCCGCCCCAAAACUAUACAGGGAGGAAAGGUAUAACAGAAGACAAGGUUAAGCAAACAUUUCAAGUCAAAAUACGUCCCCCAACCACAAUUCGGGCCGGAGCGGGCGUCCCGAAUAACCGUGAGGGCCCUGCAAUGUUAGGACGGGUGUUGCCCGAAGAGAGGUACAAUCCCUGAGCCCGAUCAACCUCAUUAGACGAUUGCAGAGGGGGAAAAAAAUGAAGAACACAGGAUGGGAACAUUUAGGAACGAAGGGGAAAAAUCCCUAACCCGCCCCAUUCAGGAAGCAACCCAACCCAUGAACUGGCAACCAAACCCAAGCAAUCCCCAUCAAGGGAGCCAAGCCAGCAAAAAAUAAAAAUAAAAAAUAAAAUUAAAGAUAAAAAGGUGGGGGGGGGACAUGGGGACCCAUCUCAACCCACCCAAACAACACAGGCCCUCCCGUAGCACAGCACCAACCGGAGCCGUAGAGAUCCGACCUGCGAGACCGGGAGCAGAAUUCCUCUCCUCACUCACCCGCCUCGGACCAGACACGUGGAAGGGAUCCCAGCACCUCCGCCGUCGCCAUCGGAACCACGAAACCUUCAGGGGCCUGAAUCCCCAGCUCCCGCAGGAACGCCGCUGGAUCACCGUCGGGAAACAAGAUCUUAGUGCGGCCGUCUUGAAAGGCCAUCAGACGGAAAGGGUGACCCCAGGCAUAUUUGAUCGAAUGGUGUUGUAAUACCUCGGUCAUGGGGCGCCACUCUCGCCUUUUCUGUAGUGUGGCCGGGGUCAGAUCCUGGUAGAGGGCCAGCUCCACUCCUUUAUAGGUGAUAGGGCUAUUUCUGCCCCGUUUCAUCAGGGCCUCCUUAGUUUGAAAGCAGAGGAAUUUAUAAUUACAUCUCUCGGCCGCCGAUCAUCUGACCGCUUAGCCCGGAGAGCCCGAUGCGCCCGCUCAAUAUGCCAAAGCUGGUCCGGCAUGUCGGGGAGAAGCGGCCUAAGGAUGCCCGAAACGACCUCAAUCAGAGACCCUUCCCCCUCCUGCUCAGGCAAGCCCCGAAGACGAAUAUUGUUUCGGCGCGAUCUAUUUCCGAGGUCUUCAAUUGCCAGUUCAGCAGAGAUCAGUCGGGUCGUCAGAGUGUUAAUCUGUGCGGCAGCAGCGUUGUGGGCCACAACCGUGGACUCCACCCGCUGUUCCAAUGCAGCCGUCCUCGCCCCUACAGCCUGAAUCUCCGCUUUCACCUCGUCCGAGCUCCUGACUAUUUCAGUAGCGAGGUAGGAGCGGACCUCCGCUAAUUUGGCCAGUAUCUGGCCUGUAUCUGUUUCACGAGUACCUGUAGCCGCACUACUGCCUGGGCUUGAUGGCGAGCGCGGCGUUCCCUGACCUUCCCGUCCGCCAUCUUGGGUGCUGAGACGCACAGCGCGGGAGGCCGCGAACAGCUCCGAGACGGUGGCACCCGAUUCCAUCGCUUUUUUCCCCUGUUUCCUCGGGGCCCUCUUAUCCAUCAUGGGUCUCCUGCCUCUGCAGGUAUUUUUUGCAAUUAUAUCUCGGCUGUAGUUAGCAGUUGGCACCAUGGCUGCAGCAGAGCUUUACAUGGACACGUCCAUCUUGCUCGCCUGCAAACCACGCCCCCCCGCUUGACACUUCUUGACACAAGGCUGAGUGUAAGUGUUACUCCCUGCAGCCGUCACCAGUGAUGGCUGCAGGGAAUUGACUUUGUCUAUGGAGGAUUCCGCGGUCCCACAGGAUCCUCCGCAGACCUCAAUGCUGUACUCUAACUCAUGGGUGAUAGUAUCGCAGUGACGUCGGCUCCUGGUGCUGGAACGCUAUCUGUUGAAGAGGAGCAGAGCAUGAGAGAUGGCGGUGCCCGUGAGGGACAGGUUCAGGUUAGUAAUCUCACCUUUCCAUGUCCCCACCUGGCGAUGUCACCGUUAGGGGUCUUGCAAAUUUGGUAAAGUCCCCAGAAGGUGACAGUGCCUCUUUAAAUCCAAUAUUUAGCCUCCAUUAGCACUUCAGGACUUGCAGUUCACUCCUGCCCUUUAUCUUACACAUUUUGCUUUGACUAGUCACUCUGCCAUGAGCAAGAUGUGUGGCAGGUUGGCUGAAGCCCACCCUCAUGUUGGGCAAAUUUUUAUUUUGAGGCAUCUGUUUUAGGUGAUGAUUGCAUUUGGUUAAUCUGCUUUGCUUUUGAAGAUGACAGUAAGUUUGCUGAAAAUGUUACCUCAUCUCCUGUUUUCAAACAGCACAUGACGUUUAAUGGGUCAUAUCAUUCCUACAGUCAGAGAGGGGGGAGGAGUGAACAAUUUCACUGUUAGCAUUACAUUAGCAUUACAGAGACUGAUAAAGAUUGCUGUAGAAGUUUUAAAUACUUUUUUUUUUUUUAAAUACAUGAUUUAACUGUAUUCACUGUGUGUGGGCAUUAUGCUUAAAUCCAGACAUUAUCUUUCAUUCUUUUGCCAUUUCUAGUAAUCUGCAAUGCUAGUAAUGCCUUCAGGGUCCUUACUAAUACCCAUCAGCCAGGUAUUUUACCAUUUUUAUUUAUCUACUGCAUUUGAGAAUUUUUUUUUGUUUUUUAGUUUUUACGUUAUAUAAAUAUUUCAGACCCUGUGUGAAAUUUUGCAAGAUAAACUGAAAAAUGAAAACUAAACUAAAAAAUGUAAAUUGACAUGAUUUAAAUUUGUAUGUUUGUCUGUAAAGCAAUCUAUACAUAAAAUUGCAGCGUUAUGAUAUGGUCAUGUGCUGGCUAUGCUUUUCUUGCUCACGGCCAGUGCAAGGUAAUUCAACUACACGGGAAAAAAUACAUUUUGCCCCUCACCCCCUUUAAAAAAAAGAAGUGUUUGUCUUGUAAACCCCCUUUAGUAUUUUUUAUCCCCCCUUUACUAUGUCUUACAGAUUAGAAUUAUACUCGGAAGUGAAGAGGUUAAGGCCUUACAGAAUACUAGGUUAAUUCUGCUGAAAACAAUGUGUUUUUCUAUUUUACACAGAUCCUAAAAGAGUAGCCG